CCCUUAGAUGUUCUGGGCUGCACGCGUGCUACACUGAUAUUGCCAAUAUGUCAUUCUUAUCCGAAAUGGAUUGGGUAAUCAAGUAAUGAAAUUUCAUGCUUGGAAUCGGUAAUUGCAAUUUUAUCGUGAACGAGGAAUUCCUAGUAAGCACUAGUCAUCAGCUAAUGUUGAUUAUGUCCCUGCCCUUUGUACACACCGCCCGUCGCUACUACUGAUUGGGUGUUCAAGUGAGAUGCUUAGACCCUUGUUGCAUGGUUCAUUAUUGUGCUCCGAAAGGAAAAAGUUUCAAGCUUGAGUGACUAGAGGAAGUAAAAGUCGUAACA
This 323-nucleotide ribosomal RNA is filed under the name uncultured eukaryote. Its description in RNAcentral is "partial 18S ribosomal RNA". It matches the Rfam family "Eukaryotic small subunit ribosomal RNA", at positions 1470 to 1796 of the family's 1831-position model. The record is from RNAcentral.